This 77-nucleotide transfer RNA is filed under the name Alphaproteobacteria bacterium. Its description in RNAcentral is "tRNA-Arg". It matches the Rfam family "tRNA". From Rfam's summary of the family: Transfer RNA (tRNA) molecules are approximately 80 nucleotides in length. Their secondary structure includes four short double-helical elements and three loops (D, anti-codon, and T loops). The record is from RNAcentral. Lineage: Bacteria; Pseudomonadati; Pseudomonadota; Alphaproteobacteria.
GUCCCCGUAGCUCAGAUGGAUAGAGCAACAGUUUCCUAAACUGUAGGCCGCGCGUUCGAAUCGCGCCGGGGGCACCA